CGGACGGGUGAGUAAUACUUAGGAAUCUGCCCAAUAGUGGGGGACAACAUUCGGAAACGGAUGCUAAUACCGCAUACGCACUACGGUGGAAAGUGGGGGACCUUCGGGCCUCACGCUAUUGGAUGAGCCUAAGUCGGAUUAGCUUGUCGGUGAGGUAAAAGCUCACCAAGGCGACGAUCCGUAGCUGGUCUGAGAGGACGAUCAGCCACACUGGGACUGAGACACGGCCCAG
RNAcentral lists this ribosomal RNA (232 nucleotides) under uncultured bacterium. RNAcentral's name for it is "partial 16S ribosomal RNA". It matches the Rfam family "Bacterial small subunit ribosomal RNA", at positions 99 to 334 of the family's 1533-position model. The record is from RNAcentral.